This 501-nucleotide ribosomal RNA is filed under the name uncultured bacterium. Its description in RNAcentral is "partial 16S ribosomal RNA". It matches the Rfam family "Bacterial small subunit ribosomal RNA", at positions 30 to 523 of the family's 1533-position model. The record is from RNAcentral.
AUUGAACGCUGGCGGCAGGCUUAACACAUGCAAGUCGAGCGGGGGAAGGCAGCUUGCUACCGGACCUAGCGGCGGACGGGUGAGUAAUGCUUAGGAAUCUGCCUAUUAGUGGGGGACAACAUGUCGAAAGGGAUGCUAAUACCGCAUACGUCCUACGAGAGAAAGCAGGUGAUCUUCGGACCGUGCGCUCAUAGAUUAGCCUAAGUCGGAGUAGCUAGUUGGUGGGGUAAAGGACUACCAAGGCGACGAUCUGUAGCGGGUCUGAGAGGAUGAUCCGCCACACUGGGACUGAGACACGGCCCAGACUCCUACGGGAGGCAGCAGGUGGGAAGAUUGGACAAUGGGGGGAACCCUGAUCCAGCCAUGACGCGUGUGUGAAGAAGGCCUUAUGGUUGUAAAGCACUUUAAGCGAGGAGGAGGCUACUCUAGUUAAUACCUAGGGAUAGUGGACGUUACUCGCAGAAUAAGCACCGGCUAACUCUGUGCCAGCAGCCGCCGUAA